This 664-nucleotide ribosomal RNA is filed under the name Etroplus suratensis. RNAcentral's name for it is "partial large subunit ribosomal RNA". It matches the Rfam family "Bacterial large subunit ribosomal RNA", at positions 1927 to 2638 of the family's 2925-position model. Lineage: Eukaryota; Metazoa; Chordata; Actinopteri; Cichliformes; Cichlidae. The record is from RNAcentral.
GCGGCGCCGUAAUUAAACAACAUGGUCGUUUAUAGAAGGACCCACGUUUUAACAAAAAUAUGUCAUGUUUUUGACAGAGGCGACCGGGGUUACCUCUACAAUCCUUGUCUUUUGAAGAAGACCCGUAUGAAUGGCAUAACGAGGGCUUAACUGUCUCCCUUUUCCAGUCAAUGAAAUUGAUCUCCCCGUGCAGAAGCGGGGAUCCCCACAUAAGACGAGAAGACCCUAUGGAGCUUUAGACAAAAGACAGCCCAUGUCAAACACCCCUAAACAAAGGACAAAACUAAUUGGCCCCUGUCCUAAUGUCUUUGGUUGGGGCGACCGCGGGGAAACAAAAAACCCCCAUGUGGACUGAAGGCACCCUUCUUCACAACCAAGAGCCACAGCUCUAAGUAACAGAACAUCUGACCAACAAGAUCCGGAAUAAUAACCGAUCAACGGACCGAGUUACCCUAGGGAUAACAGCGCAAUCUCCUUCUAGAGCCCAUAUCGACAAGGAGGUUUACGACCUCGAUGUUGGAUCAGACAUCCUAAUGGUGCAGCCGCUAUUAAGGGUUCGUUUGUUCAACGAUUAAGUCCUACGUGAUCUGAGUUCAGACCGGAACCUUCGCCCUGCUUUAUCAAAAAAUAUAAUCACGUUUUGAUUUUAGACAGGGUCGCGAUU